RNAcentral lists this small RNA (28 nucleotides) under Bombyx mori (domestic silkworm). Its description in RNAcentral is "ovarian small RNA-1908". Lineage: Eukaryota; Metazoa; Arthropoda; Insecta; Lepidoptera; Bombycidae. The record is from RNAcentral.
UAGCCGCCAAGAGGCAGCCGGGGACAUG